Long non-coding RNA from Musca domestica (house fly), 3335 nucleotides. RefSeq lists it as uncharacterized. Lineage: Eukaryota; Metazoa; Arthropoda; Insecta; Diptera; Muscidae. The record is from RefSeq and is a predicted model, not a curated record. The transcript has 2 exons.
AUUUGUUUCCUUUUCUGCCUCAGGAGCAGCAUAUCAUGAAAUUCUUACUUUAUAUUCUUUGGUCUGUUCUGUUCGGAUUGUAGAACGUCAUGUAAUAACGAUUUGUCUCGGUGCAGGGGUUGAAGAGAAUGGCGGCAUUGGAUGAGAACACAGCUGAAUGUGCGGGUCGAGGGACAUUUUAUGCCAACUACGAAUCAGCCUAAGAUCCAUGCUCAAGAGUCCGCGCAAGCCAUCUGUAGGAGAAAGGUCCUCAAUCCGCCGGCCGGCAGUACUUGCAGUUGAAGAAUAUCCAGACCUCCAAUAAUGCUGCCCUGGGAACUACGCCAGGCAGCCUCCUCGUGAUACCAUUGGACCACCUACAUGAGGAGGCGAACGUCCUUCCCGUACGUCAGCAAUAUCAUAGACAGAAAAGGAAAAAAUACGAACAUUUAUGCGCUGAGAUGGUAGCCGCUGGCUGAAACAAAGAUGUUGUUGUUUCGGAUCAGUCCGGAACAGUUGAAUCCGCCGCCGUUGCUAUUUUUAUUUGGUCUGGAAACCGUCUGUUACUUUUUGAUAGACAACUUAGCCUGGCAUAUUCAAUAAAUUUUUUAAAUUUGUGACGUUUAAUCAAAUCCACAUUUUUAAAUUUUAUUUACUUUACUCUAUUAACGUUACCUAAACAUACUUAAUGGAUUAUAUUGGGGUGCAAAAGUUCCGUUUUUUACAUAUAAUUUCAUACGUCGAAAUGUGACUCUCCGUAGUAAGAAUUUUAUACCAUACUUCUCUUUGGAGGAUAUUCGUAUCAAGGCAUUUGAAGUCUAUCUUUAUGGACUUUAUUAUAAGUGAAUCUUUAUCUUCACUAAUAAUUUUUCCACAGAGAUACUUUUGAUAUAACGAAGUUACCAAUAAAGAAUAUUUCGGAGUUCCCAUUUUCCUUCACGGAAAAUGAGAUGUAUCGGUCCACAAUUUGGUAUAGUCCCCAUAUAACGGUACUUCUCGAUUUUUUGUUGAUUUUUGACACAUUUUUCAACGUAUUUGUGGUAUUGGUAGAUCAUACUGGUUCCAGCUCGUAUGGCGAAUCAUUGUAUGUAUAGGUCCAUGUUUUGGUAUAGCCCUCAUACAAGGGUACCUCCCGAUAUUCGGUAUUUUGCUGAUUUUUGCCACUUUUUUUUAACGAAUUUGUCUAAAAAAUUGAAAUGUUUGGCCAUGAUGGGUUCUAGCUCCGGUGGCGAAACAUUGUAUGUAUAGGCUCACGUUUUGGUAUAGCCGCCAAAUAACGGUACCUCCCGAUAUUUGGUAUUUUGCUGAUUUUUGCCACAUGUUCCCACGAAUUUGCCUAAAUGUUGGUAUUUGUGGGUCAUAAUGGGUUAUAGCUUGUAUGGCGAUACAUUAUAUGUAUAGGUCCACGUUUCGGUGUAGCCCCCAUGUAACGGUAGCUCCCGAUAUUCGGGGUUUUGAUGAUUUUUACAGAUUUUUUAAGGGAUUUGUCCAGAAAUUGAUAUUUGUAGUUCGUAAUGGGUUGUAGCUCGUAUGCCGAAACAUUGUACGUCCACGUUUUGGUAUAGCCCCCAUAGAACAGUACCUGUCUAUAUUCGAUAUUCUGAUGAAAAUUGAUAUUUUUAUACACUCUACCAUAGUAUGGAGGGUAUAUUAAGUUUGUCAUUCCGUUUGUAACACCACGAAAUACACAUUUUAGACCCCAUAAAGUAUAUAUAUUCUUGAUCAGCAUAAAAUUCUAUGCCGAUUUAGCGAUGCCAGUCUGUCUAUCCCUCUGUGGAAAUUACUUUAGCUUUCGAACGAAUUGAAGAAGAUUGAUAAAAUUUUACACAAGUGUAUGUUAUGUCUGCAGGACUUUUGGUAUUGAAAAUUGGCCAUGCUGGCCCACAUUUCAGUAUAGGCCCCAUUUAACGGUACCUCCCGAUAUUCGGUAUUUUGAUGACUUUAGCGACAUUAUUUAUCGGAAUUCUUUCAAAUUUCGUAUCUAAAGUUCGUAAAGUAUACUGCAGCCUAAGACAGAAAAUAGUUUGUGCAGGUCCACAUCUUCAUGUAGCCCCAAUAUAACGGUACCUCUCGAUAUUCGGUAUUUUGAUGAUUUUAUUUACAUUAUUACCAAUUUUUUGAAGUUUCGCAUUUGAAUAUUAUCUGGCUUAUGACAAACAUUACGUAUGCAGGUCCAUGUCGUCAUAUAGACCCUAAUAUAACAUCUACAUUUGGUAUUUUAAAGACUUUAACAGAAUUUUUAACGGAUUUUGUUGUUUUUGAGAAUUGCCAAAUUCAUUCCAAAUGGUGGAGGGUAUUCAAAGUUCGGCCCGCCGAACUUACAGCUUUUUUAUUUAUUUUUUGUUACAAUAUUAGUAGGUAAUGAUGUGGACUGUUUUUUGAACAGUAAAAUUGUAUUGAAUGAGAAUUAAUUCAGUGGAAUUAUAUUAGUGUUUAUCGAUCGUGUAGACGAUAACGUAAUUUUUGUCUCUUGCACUAUUAUGAAAAGGACAUAAUUGGGUUGCGGUUGAGUGAUGGAUUCUAUAUUCCCAAUGUCGUGGAAUUAACAUGAUACUACAAGCUGUUUACAAGCUUACAAAAGCAUUUUGGUGAGAAUUUUCCAGAAAAAAGUUAUUCGUGAUGGUAUUCAAGCGUGAUAGUGUGAUUCCUUUAAAUUUGGCUGGAAAACCACAAGUAGUUAUCGUUAGAGCACUCCAGCAUUUAAAUGUGAAUAAAACUUUUGUGUCUCGUAAUAUCGCUCGUUAUUGUGAUACUGGUAGCGUAGCCCGACGUCAAGGAAAUGGACGCAAGAAAACACCAAAAUCAGCAGAAAUUGUUUGAAAAGUAAAGAAACGACUUGAUCGAAAACGGCGUCGCGGUGGCCGAAAAAUGGCUCGUGAGCUGAACAUAUCGCAAUAUACCAUUCGGCAAAUAUAAAAAAAAAAGAGCUGGGGGUAAAGCCAUUGAAAUUCCAAAAAGUGCAAGAACUUUCUCCGCCGCCGAAGGUGCACUCAGCACGCGCCAACCAAGAAUGGUUACAAAAUGAGGUUCCUCGCUACAUUUCCAGCGCAUAAUGGCCACCAAAAUCUCCAGAUACCCAUCCGUUGAACUAUUGUGUCUGGAGUAUUUUGGAAUGUAAGGUUUGCACUAAAAAAUACCAAAGCGUCGAUCACCUCAAGCAAGCUCUUCGCCGGGAAUGGACUAAAAUACCGCAGUGCAACAUUCGGCAGCGUGUGACGGUUUUAUUGACCGUUUGGAGGCCAUAAUCUGUACAAAAGGUGACCAAUUUGAACAAAUCUAAACUUAUUCUAAAAUUUGUUGCUAUUUUCGACAAUUCUGGCUUUUAUUCAAUAAAAUUUAAAAAAAUGUAAAAUUUA